RNAcentral lists this ribosomal RNA (1203 nucleotides) under bacterium 6-3(2009). RNAcentral's name for it is "partial 16S ribosomal RNA". It matches the Rfam family "Bacterial small subunit ribosomal RNA". The record is from RNAcentral.
AGAGUUUGAUCCUGGCUCAGGAUGAACGCUGGCGGCGUGCUUAACACAUGCAAGUCGAACGGUGAAGCAGAGCUUGCUCUGUGGAUCAGUGGCGAACGGGUGAGUAACACGUGAGCAACCUGCCCUGGACUCUGGGAUAAGCGCUGGAAACGGCGUCUAAUACUGGAUACGAGACGUGGCCGCAUGGUCAACGUUUGGAAAGAUUUUUUGGUUCAGGAUGGGCUCGCGGCCUAUCAGCUUGUUGGUGAGGUAAUGGCUCACCAAGGCGUCGACGGGUAGCCGGCCUGAGAGGGUGACCGGCCACACUGGGACUGAGACACGGCCCAGACUCCUACGGGAGGCAGCAGUGGGGAAUAUUGCACAAUGGGCGAAAGCCUGAUGCAGCAACGCCGCGUGAGGGAUGACGGCCUUCGGGUUGUAAACCUCUUUUAGCAAGGAAGAAGCGAAAGUGACGGUACUUGCAGAAAAAGCGCCGGCUAACUACGUGCCAGCAGCCGCGGNAAUACGUAGGGNGCAAGCGNUAUCCGGAACAUUNCACGGGUUUCCGUGACGCAGCUAACGCAUUAAGUUCNCCGCCUGGGGAGUACGGCCGCAAGGCUAAAACUCAAAGGAAUUGACGGGGACCCGCACAAGCGGCGGAGCAUGCGGAUUAAUUCGAUGCAACGCGAAGAACCUUACCAAGGCUUGACAUAUACGAGAACGCUGCAGAAAUGUAGAACUCUUUGGACACUCGUAUACAGGUGGUGCAUGGUUGUCGUCAGCUCGUGUCGUGAGAUGUUGGGUUAAGUCCCGCAACGAGCGCAACCCUCGUUCUAUGUUGCCAGCACGUAAUGGUGGGAACUCAUGGGAUACUGCCGGGGUCAACUCGGAGGAAGGUGGGGAUGACGUCAAAUCAUCAUGCCCCUUAUGUCUUGGGCUUCACGCAUGCUACAAUGGCCGGUACAAAGGGCUGCAAUACCGUGAGGUGGAGCGAAUCCCAAAAAGCCGGUCCCAGUUCGGAUUGAGGUCUGCAACUCGACCUCAUGAAGUCGGAGUCGCUAGUAAUCGCAGAUCAGCAACGCUGCGGUGAAUACGUUCCCGGGUCUUGUACACACCGCCCGUCAAGUCAUGAAAGUCGGUAACACCUGAAGCCGGUGGCCUAACCCUUGUGGAGGGAGCCGUCGAAGGUGGGAUCGGUAAUUAGGACUAAGUCGUAACAAGGUA